Molecule: ribosomal RNA, 305 nt
Filed under: uncultured bacterium
Lineage: Bacteria
Description: bacterial SSU rRNA
Rfam family: Bacterial small subunit ribosomal RNA
Source: RNAcentral
UGCCUACGGGGGGCAGCAGUGAGGAAUAUUGGUCAAUGGACGAGAGUCUGAACCAGCCAAGUAGCGUGAAGGAUGACUGCCCUAUGGGUUGUAAACCUCUUUUGUCAGGGAGCAACGCCGGCUACGUGUAGCCAGACUGAGAGUACCUGAAGAAAAAGCAUCGGCUAACUCCGUGCCAGCAGCCGCGGUAAUACGGAGGAUGCGAGCCUUAUCCGGAUUUAUUGGGUUUAAAGGGUGCGUAGGCGGAAUGCCAAGUCAGCGGUAAAAUCGCGGGGCUCAACCUCGCUCCGCCGUUGAAACUGGCG